This 1412-nucleotide long non-coding RNA is filed under the name Macaca fascicularis (crab-eating macaque). Its description in RNAcentral is "lncRNA (ENSMFAG00000059758.1)". Lineage: Eukaryota; Metazoa; Chordata; Mammalia; Primates; Cercopithecidae. The record is from RNAcentral.
AUGCUGAGGGAGGUCCAGGUGCUGAGAGAACAGGCACAAAAGAGGACCAGGAAGGGGCAGGCCUGCCACAGGAGCCGGCCACAUGUGCCCAGCCUUUUCUUCCAUUUCAGAGAUUUCAUGGCAGUGUUCCUGCAAUGGGAACAGGCUGAAAAAUCUGAUCAUGCUCAAGCGGUCACCCAGUUCUCAUCUUGGGCUUUAUUGUGGGACUAUAAUUGGUGUCACUGGCCAGAAGGGCCAAGUGUGGAUAAACGAUGCAGGAAGAUGAGAAUUCUGUCUCAGCCAAGCAGUGAGCAAUUGUCAGUGCAUAUCGGAAAGGUGAACCCAAUGAAAGGCUUUGGGACAUCAAGCCCCACGUGCAAAAUAUGAACCUAUGGGAGAAACUAACUAGAAACAUGAAGUAAUCACUAUGUACAGUUCAGAUGCUAAAAAUAGGGCAAAACCGAGAGGAUAACACAUUUGUCUUCAGCAUUCCUUUCUUCACCUUCCUCCAUCCCUUCUUUACCAGGACUGGAGCCCUGCUUGCUUGGCUCUGACCCACCUGCCUGAAAGCUGGUCCCAUAAGUUCAUUUUCAUUAUGGGAAGAGAGAACCCCAAACACUUGGUAGUGCUUGAGUCAGAGGAAUGAAUGAUUAAUGGAGAAUUUAAAAGAUCCUUACUGUUUAUUUAUUUGAAUUUAACAUGGCCCAGGAUAUGGAGAGUGGGACUUAGUUACUACAGGCUGACUGCUGUUGGUUUCUUCUGUGUGCCUAGUUGGCCCAAAGAAAGGUGGCAGCCUGGACACUUGCAGAGACACUCUGGGCUGCCAAAUCAUGAGGGUGAGACUCUUUGAAUCCUUAACCAUUUUCAUUUCAUUUCCCAAAUCUUCAGUUCAACAUACUGGAGAUACCAACAUGGCUAAGACUCUUCUCUGUCCUUGAGGAUCUCAUGGUCAAUCUGGAAGCAGACAGAGAGCUACAUUUUCUAUGAAUGGUGCAGCAGGACUAACUCAAGAUAGGACAACCAUGGGAAGAAUAGAAAGGGGGACAACCAGAUGGAAAAGGACUAUAGGAGAGUCCUCUUCUCCAAGGUAUCCUGAGCCUGGCUUAGGAAAUUGUAAGUCCUGUCCAUCUGAGCCUCUAGAGCUUCACCCGGGUGGGAGGAUGGAAUAGGGCAGAAACCUAGCCGGUCCCCUUCACCUUUCUUGGGGGAGCAUUCUUUUGGGAAAGUCACCUUCCCUUCCCACAAGUUUCCCCUGCCACUUCACUACAUAAUCCUUAGGCUUCCUGUCCCUAAGGCCUGCUGUGAUUCUGUUGAAGGUCAAUUGACCCUCUCCUCGACAUUUGAACUAGAAUUCUUUAGGGAGGCACUGGGGCAUUUUAUCAAGAAUGUUCUAUACAAAGGCUGAGCAAUAACUGUGUUUGGGUAACAUUACC